Molecule: ribosomal RNA, 497 nt
Filed under: uncultured bacterium
Lineage: Bacteria
Description: partial 16S ribosomal RNA
Rfam family: Bacterial small subunit ribosomal RNA
Source: RNAcentral
GAUGAACGCUGGCGGCGUACCUAAUACAUGCAAGUCGAGCGAACAGACGAGGAGCUUGCUCCUCUGACGUUAGCGGCGGACGGGUGAGUAACACGUGGAUAACCUACCUAUAAGACUGGGAUAACUUCGGGAAACCGGAGCUAAUACCGGAUAAUAUAUUGAACCGCAUGGUUCAAUAGUGAAAGACGGUUUUGCUGUCACUUAUAGAUGGAUCCGCGCCGCAUUAGCUAGUUGGUAAGGUAACGGCUUACCAAGGCAACGAUGCGUAGCCGACCUGAGAGGGUGAUCGGCCACACUGGAACUGAGACACGGUCCAGACUCCUACGGGAGGCAGCAGUAGGUAAUCUUCCGCAAUGGGCGAAAGCCUGACGGAGCAACGCCGCGUGAGUGAUGAAGGUCUUCGGAUCGUAAAACUCUGUUAUUAGGGAAGAACAAAUGUGUAAGUAACUAUGCACGUCUUGACGGUACCUAAUCAGAAAGCCACGGCUAACUACGUG